Long non-coding RNA from Mauremys reevesii (Reeves's turtle), 293 nucleotides. RefSeq lists it as uncharacterized. The record is from RefSeq and is a predicted model, not a curated record. Lineage: Eukaryota; Metazoa; Chordata; Testudines; Geoemydidae. The transcript is spliced from 3 exons.
CUUCAAUUCAAACUUGAGCUGCAGUUCUCUCUGCUCCUUGUGGAGAUUAAGGGCAGGUCUAUACUUGAAACACUGCAUUGGCACAGCUGCACUGAUGCAACUGCGCCGCUGUGAUGCUUUAAUGAAGACAUUCUAUGCUGACAGCAAGGCAGAGUUUUUUAGGACUGAACAUAACUCCACCAUAAAAAAAUGUUGCCAAGUGAAAGCAGAAUAACAAUCUCUCAAGGGGCUAUGGGCCAGCAGCCAAUGGAUGACAGUUUGGCAGGAACAGGGAAGAUGAUGGAUAAGGAGAC